RNAcentral lists this ribosomal RNA (498 nucleotides) under uncultured bacterium. Its description in RNAcentral is "bacterial SSU rRNA". It matches the Rfam family "Bacterial small subunit ribosomal RNA", at positions 28 to 518 of the family's 1533-position model. The record is from RNAcentral.
GACGAACGCUGGCGGCGUGCCUAACACAUGCAAGUCGAACGGGGUGCUCUGGAAUGAGUCUUCGGAUGAUUUCCGGGGUUACCUAGUGGCGGACGGGUGAGUAACGCGUGAGCAACCUGCCUUUCAGUGGGGGAUAACAGCUGGAAACAGCUGCUAAUACCGCAUGAUGUACGUUGGGGGCAUCCCUGAUGUAUCAAAGGCGCAAGCCGCUGAAAGAUGGGCUCACGUCUGAUUAGCUAGUUGGUGAGGUAACGGCUCACCAAGGCGACGAUCAGUAGCCGGACUGAGAGGUUGGCCGGCCACAUUGGGACUGAGAUACGGCCCAGACUCCUACGGGAGGCAGCAGUGGGGAAUCUUGCGCAAUGGGGGAAACCCUGACGCAGCAACGCCGCGUGAGUGAGGAAGGCCUCGGUCGUAACCUACUUUAGUCAGGAAGAAGACGAAGUAGACGGUACUUGCAGAAAAGACGACCGGCGUAACUACGUGCCAGCAGCCGAC